AUCUUAUCGAGAGCGGCGGAGGGAUAGGCCCGAUGAAGCCCGGCAACCGAUUUAUACUAAGUGUUCUUUUGGACACUGAAUGUGAAUGUCAUGGUGCUAAUUCCUACAAUGCCGCAUGUAUGCAGCGGCCUUUGGCAGAUGAGAC
Molecule: non-coding RNA, 145 nt
Filed under: Paenibacillus wynnii
Lineage: Bacteria; Bacillati; Bacillota; Bacilli; Caryophanales; Paenibacillaceae
Description: SAM-I sequence
Rfam family: SAM riboswitch aptamer (S box leader)
About the family: The SAM riboswitch is found upstream of a number of genes which code for proteins involved in methionine or cysteine biosynthesis in Gram-positive bacteria.
Source: Rfam by way of RNAcentral